GGUUGCUCAACAACGUAUUGUUUAUAUUAGAUCUCUUUCACCUUAUAAAUCAUCGUCACGUUGUGCAAGAUGUUCCUCUUUUUCCGCAAGACGCAUUUCAAGCUGGAAGCACAGAGACAAUUUCUUUGCUUUAUGACAAUGAACAUAGUUUUUGAGGUCUUCCACAGCUCGAUGGAAGCGCAUUUCUGCUCUCAUGAAAUCACGGGCCUUCUGUUCCCUUUCAUCAGCCUAAAAUAAAUAAAUAGUCUAAAAUUAAA
Long non-coding RNA from Gigantopelta aegis, 257 nucleotides. RefSeq lists it as uncharacterized. The record is from RefSeq and is a predicted model, not a curated record. NCBI's taxonomy places the organism in Eukaryota, Metazoa, Mollusca, Gastropoda, Neomphalida, Peltospiridae. The transcript has 3 exons.